CCCUUAGAUGUUCUGGGCUGCACGCGCGCUACACUGAAGCGUUCAACGAGUAUUCACCUUGCCCGGGAGGGUUGGGUAAUCUUUUGAAAACGCUUCGUGAUGGGGCUAGAUUAUUGCAACUAUUAAUCUUCAACGAGGAAUGCCUAGUAAGCGCGAAUCAUCAGUUCGCGUUGAUUACGUCCCUGCCCUUUGUACACACCGCCCGUCGCUCCUACCGAUUGAAUGGUCCGGUGAAAAUUUCGGAUAGUGGCGAUGCUGGCGGUUCGCCGCCGGCGCUGCCGCUAGAAGAUCUUUAAACCUUAUCAUUUAGAGGAAGGAGAAGUCGUANCA
This 330-nucleotide ribosomal RNA is filed under the name uncultured eukaryote. RNAcentral describes it as "partial 18S ribosomal RNA". It matches the Rfam family "Eukaryotic small subunit ribosomal RNA", at positions 1470 to 1796 of the family's 1831-position model. The record is from RNAcentral.